RNAcentral lists this ribosomal RNA (301 nucleotides) under uncultured bacterium. RNAcentral describes it as "partial 16S ribosomal RNA". It matches the Rfam family "Bacterial small subunit ribosomal RNA", at positions 509 to 807 of the family's 1533-position model. The record is from RNAcentral.
CAGUCGCCACGGGAAUACAGAGGGUGCAAGCGUUAAUCGGAAUUACUGGGCGUAAAUCGCGCGUAGGUGGUUUGUUAAGUUGGAUGUGAAAGCCCCGGGCUCAACCUGGGAACUGCAUCCAAAACUGGCAAGCUAGAGUACGGUAGAGGGUGGUGGAAUUUCCUGUGUAGCGGUGAAAUGCGUAGAUAUAGGAAGGAACACCAGUUGCGAAGGCGACCACCUGGACUGAUACUGACACUGAGGUGCGAAAGCGUGGGGAGCAAACAGGAUUAGAGACCCCCGUAGUCCCUGUCUCUUAUAC